This 630-nucleotide ribosomal RNA is filed under the name Streptomyces sp. GTVB1. RNAcentral's name for it is "bacterial SSU rRNA". It matches the Rfam family "Bacterial small subunit ribosomal RNA", at positions 111 to 755 of the family's 1533-position model. The record is from RNAcentral. Lineage: Bacteria; Bacillati; Actinomycetota; Actinomycetes; Kitasatosporales; Streptomycetaceae.
UAACACGUGGGCAAUCUGCCCUUCACUCUGGGACAAGCCCUGGAAACGGGGUCUAAUACCGGAUAACACUCUGUCCCGCAUGGGACGGGGUUAAAAGCUCCGGCGGUGAAGGAUGAGCCCGCGGCCUAUCAGCUUGUUGGUGGGGUGAUGGCCUACCAAGGCGACGACGGGUAGCCGGCCUGAGAGGGCGACCGGCCACACUGGGACUGAGACACGGCCCAGACUCCUACGGGAGGCAGCAGUGGGGAAUAUUGCACAAUGGGCGAAAGCCUGAUGCAGCGACGCCGCGUGAGGGAUGACGGCCUUCGGGUUGUAAACCUCUUUCAGCAGGGAAGAAGCGAGAGUGACGGUACCUGCAGAAGAAGCGCCGGCGAACUACGUGCCACCAGCCGCGGUAAUACGUAGGGCGCAAGCGUUGUCCGGAAUUAUUGGGCGUAAAGAGCUCGUAGGCGGCUUGUUGCGUCGGUUGUGAAAGCCCGGGGCUUAACCCCGGGUCUGCAUUCGAUACGGGCAGGCUAGAGUGUGGUAGGGGAGAUCGGAAUUCCUGGUGUAGCGGUGAAAUGCGCAGAUAUCAGGAGGAACACCGGUGGCGAAGGCGGAUCUCUGGGCCAUUACUGACGCUGAGGAGCG